RNAcentral lists this ribosomal RNA (433 nucleotides) under uncultured bacterium. RNAcentral's name for it is "partial 16S ribosomal RNA". It matches the Rfam family "Bacterial small subunit ribosomal RNA", at positions 29 to 507 of the family's 1533-position model. The record is from RNAcentral.
AACGAACGCUGGCGGCAUGCCUAACACAUGCAAGUCGAACGAGACCUUCGGGUCUAGUGGCGCACGGGUGCGUAACGCGUGGGAACCUGCCCUUAGGUUCGGAAUAACUCCCCGAAAGGGGUGCUAAUACCGGAUAAUGUCUUCGGACCAAAGAUUUAUCGCCUUUGGAUGGGCCCGCGUUGGAUUAGCUAGUUGGUAGGGUAAAAGCCUACCAAGGCGACGAUCCAUAGCUGGUCUGAGAGGAUGAUCAGCCACACUGGGACUGAGACACGGCCCAGAAUCCUACGGGAGGCAGCAGAGGGUAAUAUUGGAAAAUGGGGGAAAGGCUGAUCCAGCAAUGCUGCGUGAGUGAUGAAGGCCUUAAGGUUGUAAAGCUCUCUUACCCGGGAUGAUAAUGACAGUACCGGGAGAAUAAGCGCCGGCUAACUCCGUG